This 1205-nucleotide long non-coding RNA is filed under the name Homo sapiens (human). RNAcentral describes it as "non-protein coding lnc-LHCGR-1:1". Lineage: Eukaryota; Metazoa; Chordata; Mammalia; Primates; Hominidae. The record is from RNAcentral.
UAGAGACAGGGUUCCACCGUGUUAGCCAGGAUGAUGUAGAUCUGCUGACCUCGUGAUCCGCCCGCCUCGGCCUCCCAAAGUGCUGAGAUUACAGGCCUUGAAAAUAUUCAGGAUAUCCAGUUACUGGCCACUAUCUGUCCCCUGAUACCAAGAAGUUGGACACAGAACUAUACCUUCUCUGAUACAGUAGUUGCUUGAAGAGACCAUGGAUUCAAUUGUGGAACACUAGUUUGUAUUACUGAAGGCUGGCCAAGCUGUUGAAAUACUUGCUGAAUUGGAUGCUGAAGAAUACCUGCUCUUCCAGAAGUCUCUGUCACCAUAAUUGGUACAUUGACUUUAUAAAGGUGACCUUAAAAAGGAGAAAGCAAAAUUGAAACAAACUUCAAAAAGAAGCCUACAAGAAGUACAUCAAAGAUUACAUAAAAUCAAUCAAAGGCCAACAUGAAGAACAGAGACCUAAACAGUAAAACCUUUUAUGACAGAAGCUGUAGAACAAACCAAGCACAUCUUACUAAUUUCAACAACUACCAGUUUUUUACCAGUAAAAACAUGAAUCCAGAUGGCAUAGUUGCUCUACCAUGAGGAUGGUGUGACCCUGUAUAUGAUUUUCUUUAAAGAUGGUUUAGAAAUGGAAAAAUGUUAACCAAUUGGCAAUUACUUUGGCUCUAUCACCUGUCAUCACAACUGCUUGCUGCCUAUCACCCACAUGACACAAUGACUUAAGAUAAAUUGGACUGAUGUCAACUUGAGCUCUUCAUUUAUUUCGACCAUUAUAUCUUUGGAGUGGAAGCAUUGUUUUUAAGAAAAACAGGUCGGCUGGCGUGGUGGCUCACGCCUGUAAUCCCAGCACUUUGGGAGGCCAAGGCUGGUGGAUCACAAGGUUGGGAGUUGGAGACUAACCUGGCCAAUAUGGUGAAACACCAUCUCUACUAAAAAUAAAAAAAUUAGCUGGGCAUGGUGGUGCAUGCCUGUAAUCCCAGCUACUCAGGAGGCUGAGGCAGGAGAAUCGCUUGAACCAGGGAGUCGGAGGUUGCAGUGAACCGAGAUCACGCCACUGCACUCCAGCCUAGUGACAGAGUAAGACUCUGUCAAAAAAAAAAAACAAAAAACUUGUCAAGUAGGUUGUCUAAAAAUAAAAUGCACUUAAACUCAUUUGAAAGAAUCCUUUUUAGUUUAAUAUAUGUUUAUGCUAAAUCCAUCCUAUA